RNAcentral lists this ribosomal RNA (439 nucleotides) under uncultured Pelotomaculum sp. Its description in RNAcentral is "bacterial SSU rRNA". It matches the Rfam family "Bacterial small subunit ribosomal RNA", at positions 942 to 1382 of the family's 1533-position model. Lineage: Bacteria; Bacillati; Bacillota; Clostridia; Eubacteriales; Desulfotomaculaceae. The record is from RNAcentral.
UGGUUAAUUCGACGCAACGCGAAGAACCUUACAGGGCUUGACAUCCCCUGACCGCGUAUGAAAGUACGUUUUCACCCUCGGGUGACAGGGAGACAGGUGGUGCAUGGUUGUCGUCAGCUCGUGUCGUGAGAUGUUGGGUUAAGUCCCGCAACGAGCGCAACCCCUACGUUAGUUGCUAACGCGUGAAGGCGAGCACUCUAGACGAACUGCCGUUGACAAAACGGAGGAAGGUGGGAUGACGUCAAAUCAUCAUGCCCCUUAUGUUCUGGGCUACACACGUGCUACAAUGGCCGGUACAGACGGACGCAAAGCCGCGAGGUGGAGCAAAUCCUAAAAAGCCGGUCUCAGUUCGGAUUGCAGGCUGCAAUUCGCCUGCAUGAAGUCGGAAUCGCUAGUAAUCGCAGGUCAGCAUACUGCGGUGAAUACGUUCCCGGGCCUU